This is a long non-coding RNA of Vigna angularis (adzuki bean), 2084 nucleotides long. RefSeq lists it as uncharacterized. The transcript has 2 exons. The record is from RefSeq and is a predicted model, not a curated record. NCBI's taxonomy places the organism in Eukaryota, Viridiplantae, Streptophyta, Magnoliopsida, Fabales, Fabaceae.
GCAUAUAUUGUGGUGGUAUUGGUGGCCGUGGGGUUGGUUUUGGUUGAUGUGGUGGUAGCUCCAUCGCUACAUAAAAGGGUAGAAAUUAUAUAAUAAAAAUAUAGCCUUGCUUUUGAAGAAUAGAUUCAGGAUGAAACAUAUUGGUUAGUGUUUAGUUCACAUAUCAAAGGACAAACCAUACCAGACAGACAAUAGAAUGAGUGGGGAUUCUAUGUAAAUAUGACACGUGGGCCAAUAAGCCUUUUUCUAGGGGGUUGUAACACACUAAUACUUGUCCAAAACCCACUAACAGAAAAUCUCAAUUAUCAAUCAAUGUAGCUGAUUAUCAAGAUAUCUUCAUGUGCUAAUUCACCUCCUUUCUUUUUCGUUGUAGUUUUGGAUUGGCCGACAAUGAAUGCUUCAGAUUACUACCGACCUUCACCUUUGAUUAAGGGGCCUUGUGGCCCAUAUAUGAUUAGAUUGUUCCAUUUUGUUGGUUCUGGAUUUUUUUUCUUCUUCUUCCUAAAGGGCUUAUUAUCUGAUAAGGCAAGAUUUUGUGAUUUUGGUUUCUUCGAUAUUGUUCUUUUUCUUCUAGUUGUAUUUUUUCGUUCUGAUGUGUUGUUCCAUUUUUUUCAGGUAUAUAAUGAGUUUUUUUUUGUUUUAUUCACAUUUAUAUAUUAUGCCCCUUCAUCGUGAAUGGUAAAUUUUUUUAUUUCACUUCAGGUCUGGGUUUACUUUUAUUCAAUUUGUGAAAAAAGGACACUGUUAAUGCUUAAGGGUCUGGCGAUAGUGAGGUGAAUGAAUGUUUUCCGUAAACAUGUGUAUUUUCUUUGUAGCUUAGAAGUUUUUUUUUUUUGCGUUAAGUGCUUAACUCAUGUCCUUUGUUUUCGUAUUUUUGGUUUUACGGUGAAGUUCUUUUGUUAUUUUUUUGUGAUUUUUAGGGUUUCAAGUUGCUAACUUUUUGUGUUUUUGGUUGUUAACUUUUUGUGUUUUUGGUUUGGUUUUCUGAAGUUCAGUUGGAGAAUGUGGAGUUGUAGUUGAAUAUUUUGAAGAAGAGGUUAGAGAAUGUUGGGAUGAAAAAUGGGGGCAGUACAAUCACUUGCUUUCGAUUCCGUCUAACUUAUUAUAUACUAUCUAUUAUUGAAACUGCUAUGUAGGAAAUGAAUUCUUUAAGCAGCAGAAGUAUCCCGAAGCUGUGAAGCACAGAGAGUUUAUAGAAAGAAAUCCGAAAGAUCCUAGGAUACUAGAUCUAUUUGAAUAUAAUGGUUAAUACUUAUAUUUAAUGGAAAAUGCUGGUCUUUAUCUGUCUAAUGUCUUCAAUGCUUUCAGGCUCUAUAGAAACAGAGCAGCAUGAUAUACUAAGUUGGAAGCAGUGUAUUGGAAGUCACACCUCUAUUAGAUAAGGCCAAAAUAUAAUAUAUAAACGAGGUAUAAACCUCAUUUUACAAGCCGGUUUUGUGAGGUGAAAUUAAUCUACUUUCUAAUAUGUUCUGAAAACCAUGGUUAGAGAAUCUAUCUUAACGAGUUCUAUGUAGACAUUCUAUUUUUCUAUUCCAUCCGUUAUCGGAUCAUCCUCAAGAGGUUGGACAACCUGAUGGAAUUAAAGUAGCAUUUGCAGAAUUUUUUUCUUUUUGGAUUUUGUUUCUUUGUUUAUUUCAUUUUGUGUUACUUGCUGUUUUGAUCUUUCUGUGUUGAUUCUAUUCCUGGGUGAUAUGUUGUGUGGUGUUUUUAUCAUUUAUUUACUUAUAUUGUAGCAAUUAUAUUCUAAAUAUAGCUUUUGCUUAUUUCAAUCUUUAUAAACCUAUAUUUUAGGUAUUGGAAAUUGGGUGGCUAAUCUGUAUUUUUUUGUUUCAAUUCAUUUUGUUGAUUAUAUUCCUGGUAUUGGUUUUUUUUGUUUGUUUUGGUGUCCUUCAUUGGCAUUCCGGUGUGCUGGUGUUCAAUUUGUUGCAAGGCGUUAUUUGGAAAGAGAAUGGCAGAGUCUGUAAAACACAUUUGUGUAAUAGCUAGGUCCAUGAGGAUUAGUCUAUUGUGCAUCUUAGUCGGAACUGGGACUGUUUCUUCUGUCACUCGUUUUUAUCUCUAUGUAAGUCUGACAAGUUGUUAUA